UGUGACCCAUCUUUUCAAAUUCCCUUACCUGAGGAAGGAGCCCGAUUACAAGGAUAUUUACCUGCUCCUACCCUGAUCUAGGCUCUCUGUUUCCUCGAGUCACUCCCAGAUUAGUGGUGUCUAGCUCAGCACUGUUUCUGUUAUACUUCAUUCAUAAUUCCCAGCGCUGUUGGACGAGGAUGGGAAGACCGCCUGUGGCCAUGAGCCCUCCCCGGUGCUCCUGGGGCUAAGGCUGGGGCUGCAGCCAUGGGGCUGGGUCAGCCCCAGGCCUGGUUGCUGGGUCUGCCCACAGCUGUGGUCUAUGGCUCCCUGGCUCUCUUCACCACCAUCCUGCACAAUGUCUUCCUGCUCUACUAUGUGGACACCUUUGUCUCAGUGUACAAGAUCAACAAAAUGGCCUUCUGGGUCGGAGAGACAGUGUUUCUCCUCUGGAACAGCCUCAAUGACCCCCUCUUCGGUUGGCUCAGUGACCGGCAGUUCCUCAGCUCCCAGCCCCGGU
This 499-nucleotide long non-coding RNA is filed under the name Homo sapiens (human). Its description in RNAcentral is "long non-coding RNA NONHSAT016133.2". The record is from RNAcentral. Lineage: Eukaryota; Metazoa; Chordata; Mammalia; Primates; Hominidae.